Molecule: ribosomal RNA, 429 nt
Filed under: Bacteroidota bacterium
Lineage: Bacteria; Pseudomonadati; Bacteroidota
Description: Bacteroidetes bacterium partial 16S ribosomal RNA
Rfam family: Bacterial small subunit ribosomal RNA
Source: RNAcentral
UAGGGAAUCUUCCGCAAUGGGCGAAAGCCUGACGGAGCAACGCCGCGUGAGUGAUGAAGGUCUUCGGAUCGUAAAACUCUGUUAUUAGGGAAGAACAAAUGUGUAAGUAACUAUGCACGUCUUGACGGUACCUAAUCAGAAAGCCACGGCUAACUACGUGCCAGCAGCCGCGGUAAUACGUAGGUGGCAAGCGUUACCCGGAAUUAUUGGGCGUAAAGCGCGCGUAGGCGGUUUUUUAAGUCUGAUGUGAAAGCCCACGGCUCAACCGUGGAGGGUCAUUGGAAACUGGAAAACUUGAGUGCAGAAGAGGAAAGUGGAAUUCCAUGUGUAACGGUGAAAUGCGCAGAGAUAUGGAGGAACACCAGUGGCGAAGGCGACUUUCUGGUCUGUAACUGACGCUGAUGUGCGAAAGCGUGGGGAGCGAACAGG